Molecule: ribosomal RNA, 453 nt
Filed under: uncultured bacterium
Lineage: Bacteria
Description: SSU rRNA
Rfam family: Bacterial small subunit ribosomal RNA
Source: RNAcentral
AGAGCGAACGCUGGCGGCAUGCUUAACACAUGCAAGUCGCACGGGGUGGUUUCGGCCAUUCAGUGGCGGACGGGUAAGUAACGCGUAGGUAUCUAUCCUUGGGUGGGGGACAACCGUGGGAAACUACGGCUAAUACCGCAUGACGACCGAGGUCCAAAGCCCGCGAGGGUGCCUGGGGAGGAGCCUGCGUCCGAUUAGCUAGUUGGUGGGGUAACGGCCUACCAAGGCGACGAUCGGUAGCUGGUCUGAGAGGAUGAUCAGCCACACUUGGACUGAGACACGGCCCAGACUCCUACGGGAGGCAGCAGUGGGGAAUAUUGGACAAUGGGCGCAAGCCUGAUCCAGCAAUGCCGCGUGGGUGAAGAAGGUUUUCGGAUUGUAAAGCCCUUUCGGCGGGACGAUGAUGACGGUACCCGCAGAAGAAGCCCCGGCUAACUUCGUGCCAGCAGCCGC